This 468-nucleotide ribosomal RNA is filed under the name uncultured bacterium. RNAcentral's name for it is "partial 16S ribosomal RNA". It matches the Rfam family "Bacterial small subunit ribosomal RNA", at positions 28 to 507 of the family's 1533-position model. The record is from RNAcentral.
GACGAACGCUGGCGGCGUGCUUAACACAUGCAAGUCGAACGGAAAGGCCCUGCUUUUGUGGGGUGCUCGAGUGGCGAACGGGUGAGUAACACGUGAGUAACCUUCCCUUGACUUUGGGAUAACUUCAGGAAACUGGGGCUAAUACCGGAUAGGAGCUCCUGCUGCAUGGUGGGGGUUGGAAAGUUUCGGCGGUUGGGGAUGGACUCGCGGCUUAUCAGCUUGUUGGUGGGGUAGUGGCUUACCAAGGCUUUGACGGGUAGCCGGCCUGAGAGGGUGACCGGCCACAUUGGGACUGAGAUACGGCACAGACUCCUACGGGAGGCAGAAGUGGGGAAUAUUGAACAAUGGGCGGAAGCCUGAUGCAGCAACGCCGCGUGCGGGAUGACGGCCUUCGGGUUGUAAACCGCUUUCGCCUGUGACGAAGCGUGAGUGACGGUAAUGGGUAAAGAAGCACCGGCUAACUACGUG